AUAUUCGUUUUGUGAACUAAUUGAUAAUAAGCGAUUUCCCUUAUACUCAGGAACUUGGUUUUAAAAAGCGAUAGGAGCACAAAAGCGACGAGGUCUAAAAUUGAGGCGCGAAGCGCAAAAGCGGUGGGCUUUUUGUACCCGAGGCGCAAGAAAAACGCCUCUGAUACAUGAGACGCGCGCCUCAGGCCAAAAAGCCCCCCAAAAAACCCGGAAAUCUGCGUCUUUUGGGCGCUUCUUGUAGUUACACAAGGCGCUGAGCGAAAAAGCCCCAGAAAUUGCGCCUCGUGCGGUCUUGCCUCAGCACGCCCUUUUUAAAACCAAGCUCAGGAACACGUUACAGUUCAUUAAACGUUAGACUCGUUUACAAUAAUGGGUUAAACAGGUCAUUUCACGAGUUGGCGUCUUGAAUCUGAACAGGAACACGGGCAGACAUCGUCACCACCCAUUAAUACAAUUUUUUUUACACAUA
Molecule: long non-coding RNA, 469 nt
Organism: Helianthus annuus (common sunflower)
Lineage: Eukaryota; Viridiplantae; Streptophyta; Magnoliopsida; Asterales; Asteraceae
Exons: 2
Source: RefSeq, a predicted model, not a curated record